AGUGAACGUUGGCGGCGUGGAUUAGGCAUGCAAGUCGAGCGAGAACCGUUGCAAUACGGGGACAGCGGCGAAAGGUACAGUAAUGUGUAGGUACCUACCUCCGGGUUCGGGAUAGCUACGGGAAACUGCAGGUAAUACCGAAUAACGUCUCCGGACCAAAGGUGUGAUUCCACCUGGAGAGGGGCCUGCAUCCUAUUAGCUUGUUGGCGGGGUAACGGCCCACCAAGGCGACGAUGGGUAGCGGGUGUGAGAGCACGACCCGCGUCAUUGGGACUGAGACACUGCCCAGACACCUACGGGUGGCUGCAGUCGAGGAUCUUCGGCAAUGGGCGCAAGCCUGACCGAGCGACGCCGCGUGCGGGAUGAAGGCCUUCGGGUUGUAAACCGCUGUCGUAGAGGAGGAAAUGCAGGGGGGUUCUCCCCUCUGUUUGACCUAUUCUAGGAGGAAGUACGGGCUAAGUUCGUGCCAGCAGCCGCUGUAA
This 482-nucleotide ribosomal RNA is filed under the name uncultured bacterium. RNAcentral describes it as "partial 16S ribosomal RNA". It matches the Rfam family "Bacterial small subunit ribosomal RNA", at positions 28 to 523 of the family's 1533-position model. The record is from RNAcentral.